This 667-nucleotide ribosomal RNA is filed under the name uncultured bacterium. RNAcentral's name for it is "bacterial SSU rRNA". It matches the Rfam family "Bacterial small subunit ribosomal RNA", at positions 59 to 749 of the family's 1533-position model. The record is from RNAcentral.
CAGUCGAACGGGGGUAGUAAUACUCCAGUGGCGAACGGUCGCGUAACACGUAAGCAACCUGCCCUAAAGUGGGGGAUAACGUUCCGAAAGGGACGCUAAUACCGCAUAUGGUUCACAGAAGGCAUCUUUUGUGAUCUAAAGAUUUAUUGCUUUAGGAUGGGCUUGCGGCCUAUCAGGUAGUUGGUGGGGUAAUGGCCUACCAAGCCGACGACGGGUAGCUGGUCUGAGAGGACGAUCAGCCGGAUUGGGACUGAGAUACGGCCCAGACUCCUACGGGGGGCAGCAAUUAGGAAUCUUGCGCAAUGGGGGCAACCCUGACGCAGCGACGCCGCGUGAAGGAUGACGGAUUUCGGUCUGUAAACUUCUUUUGUCAAGGAAGAAGAAUGUGACGGUACUUGGCGAAUAAGCCCAGGCUAACUACGUGCCGGCAGCCGCGGUAAUACGUAGGGGGCGAGCGUUGUCCGAAGUUACUGGGCGUAAAGCGCGCGUAGGCGGUCAUUUAAGUCUGGGGUGAAAGGUUCAACGCUUAACGUGAACAGUGCCUUGGAUACUGGGUGACUUGAGUCUGGGAGAGGACAGUGGAAUUCCUGGUGUAGCGGUGAAAUGCGUAGAUAUCAGGAGGAACACCGAUGGCGAAGGCAGCUGUCUGGCCUAAGACUGACGCUGA